ACCUGCAGUCGAACGGCAGCACGGGAGCAAUCCUGGUGGCGAGUGGCGAACGGGUGAGUAAUACAUCGGAACGUGCCCAGUUGUGGGGGAUAGCCCGGCGAAAGCCGGAUUAAUACCGCAUACGACCUGAGGGUGAAAGCGGGGGAUCGCAAGACCUCGCGCAAUUGGAGCGGCCGAUGUCAGAUUAGCUAGUUGGUGGGGUAAAGGCCUACCAAGGCGACGAUCUGUAGCUGGUCUGAGAGGACCACCAGCCACACUGGGACUGAGACACGGCCCAGACUCCUACGGCAGGCAGCAGUGGGGAAUUUUGGACAAUGGGCGCAAGCCUGAUCCAGCAAUGCCGCGUGCGGGAAGAAGGCCUUCGGGUUGUAAACCGCUUUUGUCAGGGAAGAAACGCUUUGGGUUAAUACCCUGGAGUAAUGACGGUACCUGAAGAAUAAGCACCGGCUAACUACGUGCCAGCAGCCGCGGUAAUACGUAGGGUGCGAGCGUUAAUCGGAAUUACUGGGCGUAAAGCGUGCGCAGGCGGUUAUGCAAGACAGAUGUGAAAUCCCCGGGCUCAACCUGGGAACUGCAUUUGUGACUGCAUGACUAGAGUACGGCAGAGGGGGAUGGAAUUCCGCGU
RNAcentral lists this ribosomal RNA (625 nucleotides) under uncultured Burkholderiales bacterium. Its description in RNAcentral is "bacterial SSU rRNA". It matches the Rfam family "Bacterial small subunit ribosomal RNA", at positions 53 to 674 of the family's 1533-position model. The record is from RNAcentral. Lineage: Bacteria; Pseudomonadati; Pseudomonadota; Betaproteobacteria; Burkholderiales.